This 77-nucleotide transfer RNA is filed under the name Actinoplanes siamensis. RNAcentral describes it as "tRNA-Val". Lineage: Bacteria; Bacillati; Actinomycetota; Actinomycetes; Micromonosporales; Micromonosporaceae. The record is from RNAcentral.
ACGGCGACGGUACGGCCCGGACCCGCAUGCCGGGCUGACAGUCCGGCAGCGACCCGUUCGACGCGCGUCUGCAGUUC